This 106-nucleotide ribosomal RNA is filed under the name Vibrio splendidus. Its description in RNAcentral is "partial 16S ribosomal RNA". Lineage: Bacteria; Pseudomonadati; Pseudomonadota; Gammaproteobacteria; Vibrionales; Vibrionaceae. The record is from RNAcentral.
CUUAAAUUGAAGAGUUUGAUCAUGGCUCAGAUUGAACGCUGGCGGCAGGCCUAACACAUGCAAGUCGAGCGGAAACGACACUAACAAUCCUUCGGGUGCGUUAAUG